GGCCCCAUCGUCUAACCGGAAAAGGCACAGGUUUCCUAAACCUGGGAUCCCCGUUCGAGUCGGGGUGGGGCUACCA
RNAcentral lists this transfer RNA (76 nucleotides) under Acetobacteraceae bacterium. RNAcentral describes it as "tRNA-Arg". It matches the Rfam family "tRNA". From Rfam's summary of the family: Transfer RNA (tRNA) molecules are approximately 80 nucleotides in length. Their secondary structure includes four short double-helical elements and three loops (D, anti-codon, and T loops). The record is from RNAcentral. Lineage: Bacteria; Pseudomonadati; Pseudomonadota; Alphaproteobacteria; Acetobacterales; Acetobacteraceae.